GACGAACGCUGGCGGCGUGCUUAACACAUGCAAGUCGAACGGAAAGGCCCUGCUUGCAGGGUACUCGAGUGGCGAACGGGGGAGUAACACGUGGGUGAUCUGCCCUGCACUUCGGGAUAAGCCUGGGAAACUGGGGCUAAUACCGGAUAGGAGCCAUUUUUAGUGUGAUGGUUGGAAAGUUUUUUCGGUGUAGGAUGGGCUCGCGGCCUAUCAGCUUGUUGGUGGGGUAAUGGCCUACCAAGGCGGCGACGGGUAGCCGGCCUGAGAGGGUGGACGGCCACAUUGGGACUGAGAUACGGCCCAGACUCCUACGGGAGGCAGCCGUGGGGAAUAUUGCACAAUGGGCGCGAGCCUGAUGCAGCGACGCCGCGUGGGGGAUGACGGCCUUCGGGUUGGAAACUCCUUUCGCUAGGGACGAAGCUUUUUGUGACGGUACCUAGAUAAGAAGCACCGGCUAACUACGUG
This 465-nucleotide ribosomal RNA is filed under the name uncultured bacterium. RNAcentral describes it as "partial 16S ribosomal RNA". It matches the Rfam family "Bacterial small subunit ribosomal RNA", at positions 28 to 507 of the family's 1533-position model. The record is from RNAcentral.